Ictalurus furcatus (blue catfish) is the source of this 1969-nucleotide RNA transcript. It is a transcript of the gene named synaptonemal complex central element protein 3, with no coding region annotated. The record is from RefSeq and is a predicted model, not a curated record. The transcript is spliced from 5 exons. NCBI's taxonomy places the organism in Eukaryota, Metazoa, Chordata, Actinopteri, Siluriformes, Ictaluridae.
AUUUUCGCGCGUGCUUCAGGAGAGCUUUGCGUGCCCACGGAGACGGAGAGAAACUCGUCAGAAAUUUCCUUCAAACCCUGGCAGCCUCUAACAAAAGUCGCGUUUGACGUAAACCAUCGAAAGUUACUUUAUCAAGAUGGUUGACAAUGCUUCAGCUGGGGAACAAUACGAGGAUUUUGGUCGUGAAACUUUAGAAUGCAGUAAAGAUUUAGAGAGGAUGACCGAACAGAUGGAGAAAAUUUCAGUGAAUGUGACCUGGAUGACGUACGACAUGGUGGUACUGAGGACUGAUCCUCAACUCGCAAAAUCCCUCAAGAGGCUGAAGAACGAAUUCGUCCAGUGUAAAGCUGUUAUCUGCGGCUCCGGAGACAUUCUAGUUGACCAACGUAUAGUUGCAAAUCAAAAGACAACCCAAGAAAGGAGAAAAUGGACAUGUCCAUAGAUUUGGUGUUCACUGCUUCCACUGUUGAUCUGGAUUGCAUACUGAUGAAGCUGGAUACUAUUUCUGAGACUUUGGAUCAGUUGGAAGCGAAGACUCAGUUGCUGCUGUGUAAUUUAACUGUGUGCUUCAGACACCCUGAUAGGGUGGCAUGUCUGCACUCUGGUGUAGAAGACUCAAUGGGGUUGACAGCAUCUCCAGAAUUGGCAGAGUCAAGAGAUAAUGGUAGUAAGAGAAAUAAAAUGAGCAGUUAAAUGUAUUGAAAGUUGUUAGGCAUGAGACAGUCAUUAAAACCACAAUCCCCAGUGAAGUCCACUUUUUAUAUAAAUUAUUACACCCAAAGUGAAAAAGCCACACAAAUGCACUGGUUAUAAACUUACAGAUUUAUACACUUACUAUAAAUUAAAGUUCACGUAAUAGUUGUCUUCAAUAUGUUCCAUGUACCAUGACAAAUAGUAUGUUUGGCUUGAUUACAUCUUAAUAUGCUGCUGGCUGAAAGCUUUUGAAAGACUGCUCAGGCUUAGAUCAUAUAUCUGCUACUGCUGUUUUUGAGUUAGAUUAAAUGGAUAUCACUAUUUUUUAGAUGGAUAUCUUUGUAAUCUGCUUAUGUCAACUUGUAAUCUGCUUAAGAGUUUGUUAACAAACAACUGAUUGUACUUUGUAAAUGUUGCCUUUUAUUUUGUACCAUGCAAAAUUUAUUGUAUUGUACUGUAGUGACAAUAAAUAUAUUAUUUCCCCAGCAAUCACAGCAGUAGCCAGGCUAAACUUUGGUAUUCUAGAUAUUUAGUUUUUUUUCUUGCUUGUUGGUAAACUGAAAAUUAUUCCAAGGCUGUGCCACUGUUAUUUAAUUCCCUGUUUUCUCACCUUAACAGUGGCAUAUUCCUCACGUUGCUAUUUUGUCUCAAGGCAUACUUCAGAUUCCCUUCAUGUCAGCAGUUUUACAUGCUACUGAAAAUUCAUGUCCUGUGAUUUGAUUCAGUGUUUUUGUUUUAAAAUCUGGGUUUUAGUUUGUGUUUAUAAUGCUAUGCCACAGAUGUAUGUAGUAAGUAAGUAUGCAUUAAAUUCCAGGGUUUAAUAGAAUUACUGUUUCUUUUGCUCUUAUGUAUGUACAGUGGGGUCCAAAAGUCUGAGUUUUUUUAAUUUAUUUUUUAUUUUAUUUAAAAUUAAAAGGUUUGAUAAUUUUGAAAUAUUUAAAACAAAGAAAGUGUUUAACAUGUUGAAUAUUUUAUAUUCAAGAUUCUGCAAUAUUUCUAGGUCCCUAUUUAAGUGUAAGCAAAUUUGUGAUAUUGACCAUGUUAACUGCUUUGUACAAAAGGUGAGAUUUUCCUCAGGUUUUCCAGAUGAAACUCUGAUGAGUCUGAUCUAAACUUGUGGAGUCCAUGCUAGCUUGAGUGCACACGGUCAUUAAAGAAAAAAGGGGACAUAUCAAAUACUAAGAAACUCUGAAAUUAUUAUAAAUAUUUUAAUGAUUCUACUUUUCUUUCAAGUUAUGGUCAAUAAUUUGCAAUGAAAAUUGUUGUGUUAAUUUAG